AGCUUUCACCAAGCAAAUACACAUGGUUUGUGGUUUACUUGUGUAGGAAUACACUUGGUCCUCAAGCUUGGCUACUUAAGAAAACCACAGAAAAGGCCAUCUUGAAGUUAACAUCUGUGCACAGGAUGGGACUUCUUAUCUGCUUUAAGCUCCACUAUCUCAAGCUGGACAAUCUCUUCCCAUCUUACAUGGCUUUGACAUUAAAGAAGAGUUGGAAAAUAAGAGGAAACCAACAUGAAGAGUUUAGAGGAGGGAAUUUUAUCUUGGGAAAGCCCUCAACAACCAUCCAAGCUAAAGUGGCAAGUGCAUGAACAACUGAAACUACAGAAAACAGCAGCCAUGUAACUUUUCCUUCAUUUAUUAGAUGCAGAACAUGGGUGGUUUUAAUUGCCAGCUUAUGUACUUUCUCUGUGUUGUGGCUGUCCUUUGGAUUCCCCCAAAUUGUUUCUGCCAUGGUCCAUGCUGCUAAAGGGUGUUGUAGGGUUGAACGCUUCACUUUGUCUAUGAUUUUGGCAUAUCCGAAGGACAGUUCAUCUUCUCCACAGAAGACAGCUGAGGAGCGUUCUUGUUAUUGAUUGAUCUUCCUUGAAAUGCCACCUGAUGCGGGAGGCUUCAUGUGGCAGCUUGAGUGCAACUUUCUAGGGCCUGUGUCAAACCAGCCCACCAGUUGCCCACAGCUUGGUGAGCUUAGCACCAAAAUAAAGAAGAUGAUGAAGAAGCAGAAGCACUCAGCCAGGUUUUCUUAAUCCUCUGGAAGGAGCAUGCAGAUACUAGGAAAGCUACCAAUCUCCACCAAGGUCCCAUGAACUAUAAAAGGUAGAAAUAUGGACAAGCUGUGAAAUAAAUAAUUGGGAUCUACGUAUGUAACAUGUUCAAAGGCAAUAAAAAAAAAACAUGCACAAA
Long non-coding RNA from Musa acuminata AAA Group (dessert banana), 903 nucleotides. RefSeq lists it as uncharacterized. The transcript is spliced from 2 exons. NCBI's taxonomy places the organism in Eukaryota, Viridiplantae, Streptophyta, Magnoliopsida, Zingiberales, Musaceae. The record is from RefSeq and is a predicted model, not a curated record.